CGCGCCGUCGUCGUCUCAGGUUGGAAGAGGAGGCCCCGCGUGGGGAAAGCCCCUCCUGAAAGACCCCUGAACUCAGCACGGGUCACGGCACUUGAGCGGACUCUGCGCGAAUUUCCGGCCCGCAGUAGCGGCGAAGUGAUUGUUCCAGAGGUUGGGGUUACUUUUGAUUCGAUAGGCGAGGCCUAUGACUUUUACAAUCUGUACUCAUGGGAACGGGGUUCGGAGUUAGAUAUGGCAAAAUUCUUUUUUUCCAGUCUUCUCAAGAAACUAUGUAUCCCUUCUCCUGAUGCUUACCUGCCUUUUUUCUCCGUUGAACUUUUCGCGAGCAGGGUUGGAUUGUCUACAAAGUUGGGGAGCCAAUCGAGAAACACGCCGCAAAGAUAUAUACGCGUACAAUGUUCGAGAAGUUCCAGGAAUGUUUGUACAAGGCCGGUUCUUACUAUGUUGACGAGUUGGUGCCAGGAGAGGUGUAUGCUGCGACACACUUUGACAGUGAGAGCCGAGAGAAGUGGUGCAAGGUGAAGUACAAAAUUACAGUUAGCGCCGGCUGUUAUACAUGCGAAUGCGGUAUGUAACACAUGGGCAUGCUCUGUUGCCAUGUGCUGAAGGUUCUGUCCCAUCUUAGGAUGAAAGAGAUUCCAGCCGCGCAUGUGCUGAGGAGAUUCCAGCCGCGCAUGGUAGUACCCCGAACACCUUGUGCACAUCAGCUGGCCAGAAGCGUAGCUUCCCAAUGUGGCCCAGGUCAAUCGCCAUUGCUUCUGACAUCUACUAUGCUCAUUAACCAUGCACUGAACUUCAAAUUUAGCUUCUUCUGCCUGGGAAUGUUCAGUGUCCCUCCGAAUCCAGCUUCCUGCACCAACCACCUCUUGUAUUCAUCGAAGGUGUCAACAACAUCGCUGACGGUAUUCACUGACAGGCGUGAUGUGAAUGUGCCAGGCAGUACUCCAUCGUUGCACUCGGGGCUGGUCGGUGGGCUGAUACCUCCACAUGGGCCAGGAUAGGAGGCUGUGUUCCUCCCGGACCUUGAGGCGGCGGACGAACCCCUGGAUCUGCUUGCAUCCCUUCUAUGAGCAUGAUCUGACAUAGAUCCAGCACGGUGGCAACACCACCGGAGUAUUGAACUGCAAAAAAAAUGGGCAGUAAGUACAUGAAAUUCCAGGGUUUUCACGGUCAGUUGGAAUGCUAGAUACUAUGGAGCAACUAGAUCAAAUGAACAUCAACAAAAACAGAAAUAAACAAUCCUUGAUGCAUAUCAGAGGGAGCAAGCAGUGGAAUGGCGACUAACCUUCUUCGUGAGGAGAGAUGCACGAGGCCAGCACCUUGGUCAGAGCUGGCUGGAUCUUGAUCGGCCUGUAACUGAUUUGGGGAUUUUGACUACUGGAGUGGAUCUGGGGCUGGCUUGCACUUGCACAUAGCAUAGGCUGGCUGGCUUGGCGUCCUCCGGCGGCUUUAAUGGAGAAAAAUGUAGGACGGGGCACAGCUUUGUGCAACCGUAAGAAUGAACAGUAAAAAACUCGGCGAAGAGAUGGUCUGGGGCUAUGCAAAAACGGUGGGGGAGCAUCGUGCGCCCACCUGUCUAUGGCUAUGCAUCGUCGCGUGCUGCUGAUGGUGCAGGGCAAAGAAUUUAUCAAGGCAAUGAGACAGACAAGAACCAAACACUGGAAUUUCAGAUACGUCUUCGAAUUACAUCCUUCGAAAUAAACCGUGUGGCAGAUCAAAUUAGCGGGGGCAAAAUUAUC
This is a long non-coding RNA of Lolium rigidum, 1739 nucleotides long. RefSeq lists it as uncharacterized. NCBI's taxonomy places the organism in Eukaryota, Viridiplantae, Streptophyta, Magnoliopsida, Poales, Poaceae. The record is from RefSeq and is a predicted model, not a curated record. The transcript has 3 exons.